Molecule: RNA transcript, 796 nt
Organism: Daucus carota subsp. sativus
Lineage: Eukaryota; Viridiplantae; Streptophyta; Magnoliopsida; Apiales; Apiaceae
Exons: 2
Source: RefSeq, a predicted model, not a curated record
CCAUCAGAACUAUUUCACUCAUCAACCAAUUUGCUACACUCGUCUCCAAUAUAACAAAGACUAGCUUUCCCUUCUCAAUGGCCUCCUUUAACAGCGUGGUCUUUCUUAGCCUCUUGGUUGCCGUUUCGGCAUUCAUGGCCGCUCCUUCCACUGUUGAAGCCGGUGUACGUGAAGUGGAAAAUGUUAUUAACGUCACUGGGAAGGUGCCUUGUGCCUACAAUACCACUAUUUUACGCAAUGGCAGUCUCGCAGGCCCCCGAUUCCCCAAUGCGACGGUUCAAUUGCAGUGCGGAAAGAAUAACACGAUUGAAGGAACAAAUACGACAAACUCAAAUGGAACGUUUUCCAUCCUUGUACGAUUUAACGAAAGCCUCUUGCAAACCUUAAUUCAAUCUGUGAAAAUCGUUAAAAAUUGUUCAGUAGCUGUUGUGACGCCUCUCUCCACUUGCAACGCCAACCUCACAUCCAAUGGAACUCUUAGAUCACCCCUUGACAAAGACCGCAUUGACAGGCAAGGAGAUAUAAGAAUGUUCAUUCUUACCGCUGAGAUGUUUAAGUUUGAAAAUCGGACCCAGACAAUGUGACAAAUCAUGUCUAUAUAAUAUAAAUAAAUAUAUAUCGCCUAGUCGAUGAUAUGCUAAAUAAAACUUAAAUAAAGUCUAUGGAAUUGCUCGAUGCAUGUAACGUCGUUUAAUCAUAGAAUUACUCUGUGUGUUUCUGUUUGUUUUCGGUUCUGUCAAGCUUUGUAUUCAGAUCUGCCGGGAUACAUAUAUAAUAUACUCCUGUGUUUAAUAUA